Molecule: ribosomal RNA, 351 nt
Filed under: uncultured fungus
Lineage: Eukaryota; Fungi
Description: SSU rRNA
Rfam family: Eukaryotic small subunit ribosomal RNA
Source: RNAcentral
GUAGUCAUAUGCUUGUCUCAAAGAUUAAGCCAUGCAUGUCUAAGUAUAAACAAAUUUAUACUGUGAAACUGCGAAUGGCUCAUUAAAUCAGUUAUAGUUUAUUUGAUGGUACCUUGCUACAUGGAUAACUGUGGUAAUUCUAGAGCUAAUACAUGCAAUAAAACCCUGACUUCUGGAAGGGGUGUAUUUAUUAGAUAAAAAACCAACGCGGCUCGCCGCUCCCUUGGUGAUUCAUAAUAACUUCUCGAAUCGCAUGGCCUUGUGCCAGCGAUGCUUCAUUCAAAUAUCUGCCCUAUCAACUUUCGAUGGUAGGGUAGAGGCCUACCAUGGUUUCAACGGGUAACGGGGAAU